CUUGAGAGUUAUAUAGGAUAUGGCAUAUUGUUUAGCUCCUGUAGUAGGGAAGACAACAAUAUGGAUGGGAAGUGUGACAUUCAGGUCUUAUAAUCUUUUGCCUCCCUGUGCUCCCUUCUGGUGGCUGCAAAGUUUUGGAUGGGUGGCACUGUCUCUGCACUGUCCACAGGCAGCAAAAGCACUUCUCAUGGAUGCAUUUCCAAGCAGCCAGGGUCCACAAGAGAAGUAUGGACACCUGGUGGCCUCUGAAGUUGCCCACAGCUCACUUCAGUUCCUUUGAUGUCCUUGCAUCUCCUGCUCCCCAGCUUGCAUUGGUCAUGAGGCAGGACACGUGGACAGGAUGGGAAGAUGAUGGUAUCCCACCACUCAGCAAAUGCCUUCAAGCCAACAGACUGGUGUAAAACCUUUUUUCUUCCAAAUCUC
RNAcentral lists this long non-coding RNA (423 nucleotides) under Anser brachyrhynchus (Pink-footed goose). RNAcentral's name for it is "lncRNA (ENSABRG00000020403.1)". The record is from RNAcentral. Lineage: Eukaryota; Metazoa; Chordata; Aves; Anseriformes; Anatidae.